AUGUCUUCGCCGAGCAGAGUGGGAGGAGGAGUUCAGGUAGGUGAUUGCAGUGGUCAUAAUGAUACACCAAUUGGCUCUUGUUGUCCUGGUGGUAAGGAUCAUGUUGAUGAGGGAGGACAUCAAAUGAAUUCGCCAAUUGAAUCUGCUCCCAUAAGUGUGGCCCCUCCUUCUGUGUCUGUUUUCCAUGCUGGGGCGCCUGGGUUUGAGGAGCAAAGCAAGAAGAAGUUGAGGUUUGAAAGUGACUCAAAAGAGUUUGCAGAGAAGGAGAAGCAGAGGAGAGCUGCAGAUGGUGCCAAGGGUGCCAAAUUUGUCAAAAGUCCACGUGUUGCUGGCAUGAACAAGAAUCUUGGUAAGAGAACUGCUGAAGCUGGUGGAAAGGAUCCUCAGCGCAAGCGACUACAUGUCAGUGAAGGUCCCAACUCUGACGAUGACGACUUUGUGCUUGCUGAUUUUGUGAGGGAUGUUCAUACUGGUAGACGCAAAGACUGUGGUUCAUCUAAGAGUCUAUCAAGCGUGCCCGUGAUGAUGGCGAUGAAGAGGAAGAAGUCUAGUAAGAGUAAUGCAACUGAAGAUGAUGCCGAGGGAGAUGAUUCUCGAUUUAACAAGAUCAAAAAUGUGUCGCGCAUUCUUAUGUGCUAUCUGAUGGGAGUGAUUGACCCUGCCACCAUGAUAGACUUUGGGAAUGGCAGGGUUCUUCGAAUCAAUCGUGAUGCAGUUCAUCACAUUUUUGAUUUACCUAUGGGACGUCACACUGCACCCAUGCCUGCUGCCAGCGGCCAUGAUGACUCGUUGACUGCCCUCAAGGAUGAGCUUGGCUUUGACCGUUCAAAAAGUAUAGGUGUGAAGGACUUGCUUGAGAAGUUGAAGGUGUUGGUGGAGGAAGAUGAUCAUGUGACUGUUGAUCUUGCUGUUAAGGUGUUCUUCCUGAUACAUUACCAGAAUUUGAUGUGCUCCGGGCCUGCUGUUCGUUUGGGUAGAGUUGCUGCAAUAGUAGAGAACAUGGAUUAUGCGGCUAUGGCGCAAAUGGACUUUUGCCAGCUUGUUGUUGAUGAGUUGAAGACAGCUGUGGUGAGGUGGCAAACAGAAGGCAGCAAGCCGAAUUGUGCAGAGGGUUGUGCCAUUGUCCCCCUAAUUAUGUAUCUUGAUUGCUUAAAGCUUCGCAAAUUUUCAGUUAUGCACACGUUGACUCCACGUGCAUCAUACCUGACGACCAAGGACCUGAUGAAGUUAUACAAUGAGGAUGUGCUUGUCAAGGGAAAGAUUUACUUGGAAACUUACAAAUUUGGGAAGCUGCCGUGGAAGGCGUCAGGUGAUAUUGUGUACAACCGUCCUACUGCAGUUGUAUGUGGCGGCUCUGAUGCGGGGCCUAGCACUCAUGCUAGGUUUUAUGAGCCUAUCUGUAGCCAGAUUCCUGCCUGUGAUGAUGAGGUGCCGCGUACUCGUGGUUUCACGGCUCGUCAGAUGUUUGAUAAUCGAAGCUCUUCUAAACAGACAUUUGUUGGCGGCAAAAGACACGAGGAGAUUGAUGAGCUUCUUCUGAAGGUUUUGAAGUUGACUGAAGAUUUGCCAACCUCUGGUGACAGGUUGAGGACAGUUGUUGGUUUUUUCCCUGUUGGCCACGGCCCACGAGAUGAAGAUAUUGUUGUUGCUCACAAUUUUGAUUGCGGCGUGAUUGAAAGCCUGAAGAUUGCAGUGACGAAUAUUCGGUCUUCGUAUGCUCAGUUGAGACAUUUACAGGAAGAAAAAUGCGGUCGGUAUGAGAGGGAUGCUGAGCAUUUUUUGGAUGAAAUGAACCAUCAGGAUGCUGGCGUCGGCGCUGAUAAUACUGGAGUUGCUGCUUGUGAUGUGCACAAAGAUUCCUACGAUGGCUCUGGGAAGGAUGAGGUCUUGGCUGAUGCAUCGUCCCCUCCAGAAGUUGUAGCUGAUAAGUGUUGGUGCUUCUGCAUCGGUUGCUGUCGACGGUGCAGAUCCUUCUGUAGCUCGGGAAUCCAUGAUGCUGUUUCCCCUAGUCGGCAUGAAGAUUCUGAUUUUGGCAUUGAAAAGCCGCUGGAGAAUGUCGUUCCUGUUGUUAGUGUUGCUGCUUCUCCUAUUUGUCUGGCGGCCAACGAUGUCCCUAAAGUAUCCAGAGUGGAGCCUCAUGUAGCUGAAGUAUCUAAGGACGUUGCGGUUGACCAGACUAUUGUAAAUCCAGAGAAUGCUGAUGUUGCUACAGAAGGGCAGUCCAGUGAGGUUGUGGUGGAUUCGUCGCAACCUAGCCAAGUAAAUGUUUUGGUCAGCUGUGAAGAACAACAACAUGAAGACUCUAGCACUGAAGGCAAGAGUUUUGUUUCGAACAGUGCAGUUGAAGUUUUUAUCAUUCAUUUUGUUUAA
RNAcentral lists this ribosomal RNA (2370 nucleotides) under Triticum aestivum (bread wheat). RNAcentral's name for it is "partial small subunit ribosomal RNA". Lineage: Eukaryota; Viridiplantae; Streptophyta; Magnoliopsida; Poales; Poaceae. The record is from RNAcentral.